Molecule: ribosomal RNA, 301 nt
Filed under: uncultured bacterium
Lineage: Bacteria
Description: partial 16S ribosomal RNA
Rfam family: Bacterial small subunit ribosomal RNA
Source: RNAcentral
CAGCCGCCACGGGAAUACGGAGGGAGCUAGCGUUGUUCGGAAUUACUGGGCGUAAAGCGCACGUAGGCGGCUUUGUAAGUUAGAGGUGAAAGCCUGGAGCUCAACUCCAGAAUUGCCUUUAAGACUGCAUCGCUUGAAUACGGGAGAGGUGAGUGGAAUUCCGAGUGUAGAGGUGAAAUUCGUAGAUAUUCGGAAGAACACCAGUGGCGAAGGCGGCUCACUGGACCGGCAUUGACGCUGAGGUGCGAAAGCGUGGGGAGCAAACAGGAUUAGAUACCCGGGUAGUCCCUGUCUCUUAUAC